Molecule: signal recognition particle RNA, 229 nt
Filed under: bovine gut metagenome
Description: Bacterial large signal recognition particle RNA
Rfam family: Bacterial large signal recognition particle RNA
About the family: The signal recognition particle (SRP) is a universally conserved ribonucleoprotein involved in the co-translational targeting of proteins to membranes. Archaeal SRP consists of a 7S RNA and homologues of the eukaryotic SRP19 and SRP54 proteins. In most bacteria, the SRP consists of a 4.5S RNA and the Ffh protein (a homologue of the eukaryotic SRP54 protein).
Source: RNAcentral
AUUGGGGCGUUAGCGGUGCCUUGUAACCCUCAAUCCGCUACAGAGGGAAUGAAAACUUGCCGUGAGGGAUUGCGAUGUUCGGUCUGUCCCUGUAUAAGUGAUGUUGACGGUUUGGUCUUACGCAAUUAAAACCUGUGAACCUCGUCAGGGCGGGAACGCAGCAGCGAUAAGCAGUAAUUUUGAUGUGCCGUAAGGAAGCCAGACUCGAGUUAACUGUAUGGGUAACGCG